GAAAUGCGAUAAGUAAUGUGAAUUGCAGAAUUCAGUGAAUCAUCGAAUCUUUGAACGCACAUUGCGCCCGGCAGCAAUCUGCCGGGCAUGCCUGUCCGAGCGUCAUUUCUGCCCUCGAGCGCGGUUCGGCCCCUAGCGGGCCGGCCGCCGCCCGGUGUUGGGGCGCUGCGGGCCCUCGUGCCCGCAGGCCCUGAAAUGAAGUGGCGGUCCCGCCGCGGCGCCCCCUGCGUAGUAGUAAAGCACCUCGCAUCGGGUCCCGGCGGAGGCCAGCCGUCGAACCUCUCUUUUGAUGGUUUGACCUCGGAUCAGGUAGAGUUACCCGCUGAACAUAAGC
RNAcentral lists this unclassified non-coding RNA (334 nucleotides) under plant metagenome. RNAcentral describes it as "partial contains 5.8S ribosomal RNA, internal transcribed spacer 2, and large subunit ribosomal RNA". The stretch from base 1 to 105 matches the Rfam family "5.8S ribosomal RNA", at positions 50 to 154 of the family's 154-position model. The record is from RNAcentral.